UAGUCCACGCCGUAAACGAUGGAUACUAGGUGUCCGGGAUAUUAACCUCCUGGGUACUACAGUUAACGCGUUAAGUAUCCCGCCUGGGGAGUACGGUCGCAAGGCUAAAACUCAAAGGAAUUGACGGGGGCCCGCACAAGCGGUGGAGUAUGUGGUUUAAUUCGAAGCAACGCGCAGAACCUUACCUACCCUUAACAUUUCACGACGUAUACAGAGAUGUAUAUUUCUCUUCGGAGACGUGAGGAUAGGUGCUGCAUGGCUGUCGUCAGCUCGUGUCGUAAGAUGUCUGGUUAAGUCCGAUAACGAGCGCAACCCCUAUCCUUAGUUGCCCCCAGGUAAUGCUGUGGCACUCUAAGGAGACUGCCCGUGUUAAGCGGGAGGAAGGUGGGGAUGACGUCAAGUCAUCAUGGCCUUUAUAUCCAGGGCUACACACGUGCUACAAUGGGUGGUACAGAGAGUUGCUAAUGCGCGAGCAGGAGCUAAUCUCAAAAAACCAUCCUCAGUUCGGAUCGGAGU
This 516-nucleotide ribosomal RNA is filed under the name uncultured bacterium. RNAcentral's name for it is "bacterial SSU rRNA". It matches the Rfam family "Bacterial small subunit ribosomal RNA", at positions 791 to 1304 of the family's 1533-position model. The record is from RNAcentral.